Molecule: RNA transcript, 1515 nt
Organism: Syzygium oleosum
Lineage: Eukaryota; Viridiplantae; Streptophyta; Magnoliopsida; Myrtales; Myrtaceae
Gene name: trihelix transcription factor GT-3b-like
Exons: 3
Source: RefSeq, a predicted model, not a curated record
GACGUUUCUCGCCCUUUGACGUUUCACACCGGCCCUUUCACACCCGCCCCCGUAUAAAAUCUCUGUUUCCACGUCUCUUCUCAUUCUUUUUCUCUUUCUCUUUCUCUCUCCUCAGCGCCAAUUCCAUCCUUCCGGUGCAAGCAUUCUCAUCACCCCCCCUAGAUUCUUGCCCUAUUAAUAUGGAAGGGCACUUCCCCCAUCAUCUUCACCAUCAGCAACAUCUUCAGCAGCAGCAGCAUCGGCCGUCACUGCAGCAGCAGCAGAUAAGCGUUAGCGUGGAAGCGGGCGGCGAUAGGUUCCCGCAAUGGAGCGUCCAGGAGACAAAGGAGUUCUUGAUGAUACGGGCCGAGCUCGACCGGAGCUUCAUGGAGACGAAGCGGAACAAGCUCCUCUGGGAGGUCAUAUCGACCCGGAUGAGGGAGAAGGGCUACAACCGGAGCGCCGAGCAGUGCAAGUGCAAGUGGAAGAACCUCGUCACUCGAUAUAAGGGUUGCGAGACGAUCGAACCAGAAGCUAUGAGGCAGCAAUUCCCAUUUUACAAUGAGAUGCAAGCGAUUUUUGCGGCGAGGAUGCAAAGAAUGCUGUGGGCCGAAGCAGAAGGAGGCAGCGGUGGGGGAAGCACCUCGAAGAGCAAGAAAGCAUCUUCUUCCCAGUUGUCUUCUGAUGACGAUGGUGAUGAUGAGGACAGUGAGGGCGAGAAGGGAAAAAAGAAGAAGAAGGCCAAGGGCAACACUGGCACGAGCAACAGCAGUAGUGGAAGCAGCAGCGAAGUGAGGAAGAUAUUGGAGGAGUUCAUGAAGCAACAGGCACGGAUGGAGGCGGAGUGGAGGGAGGCGUAUGAAGUGCGGGAGAGCGAGAGAAGGGUGAAGGAGAUGGAGUGGAGGCAGGCAAUGGAGGUUCUAGAGAAUGAGAGGAUAAUGAUGGACAGGAGGUGGAGAGAGAGGGAAGAGCAGAGGAGGAUGAGAGAGGAGGCUAGGGCUGAGAAGAGGGAUGCUCUUAUCACAGCACUUCUCAACAAGCUUAGAAGAGAAGAUCACAACAUGUAACUCUCUCUCUCUCUCUCUCUUCCCUCUCUUCAUAAUUAUGGAGAUUAUGAUGAAGAAGAAGCUUCCCCAUGAGUUGAAGAUUAUUUGCGGGAUGGAGCUAGGGUUUUGCUAUCCUCUUGGUGUCCAACGCGUUGCAACAUGAGUCACCAUCAACCCUAUGCGUAGCUAUGAUUUUAGGCCAUGGUUUGUCAUGUGGGAUUGCCAAAGUGCCAAUUGGACACUACAUUAGCAAAAUAGGACAAAAAAGAGGGAAGAAUAAAGAACGGAAGUAGGGAGUCGGUGAGGUAAGGACCACUAUCCUUAUCAUCGACAAAUAGGAGGUUGGAUUGAUCCUCAAGUGAAAAUUUGCAUGAAGGAUUUGGCUGGGGCCUGCUACCCUCAACUAGUCCCCGACCCUCUUUCUAUUUCUCUACCUUGAGUUUCUCCCUUUUGUUUUUAAAUUUAUUACAAUUUGUUUCAUGUGCUCCUA